GUGCCAGCAGCCGCGGUAAUACAGAGGGCCCGAGCGUUGCGCGGAAUCACUGGGCUUAAAGGGUGCGUAGGCGGAGGCGUAAGUGUCUUGUGAAAGCCCACGGCUCAACCGUGGAACUGCUGGGCAUACUGCGUCUCUUGAGGCUGGUAGGCGCCGCCGGAACUGUAGGUGUAGCGGUGAAAUGCGUAGAUAUCUACAGGAACGCCGAUGGUGAAGACGGGCGGCUGGGCCAGUUCUGACGCUGAGGCACGAAAGCGUGGGGAUCAAACAGGAUUAGAUACCCUCGUAGUCC
Molecule: ribosomal RNA, 292 nt
Filed under: uncultured bacterium
Lineage: Bacteria
Description: partial 16S ribosomal RNA
Rfam family: Bacterial small subunit ribosomal RNA
Source: RNAcentral